Molecule: transfer RNA, 74 nt
Filed under: Triso dermopterus
Lineage: Eukaryota; Metazoa; Chordata; Actinopteri; Perciformes; Serranidae
Description: tRNA-Lys
Rfam family: tRNA
About the family: Transfer RNA (tRNA) molecules are approximately 80 nucleotides in length. Their secondary structure includes four short double-helical elements and three loops (D, anti-codon, and T loops).
Source: RNAcentral
CGCUGGGAAGCUGAAUAAGGAUUAGCGCUAGCCUUUUAAGCUAGAAAUUGGUGACUACCGCCCACCCCUAACGA